Molecule: ribosomal RNA, 2711 nt
Filed under: Shigella flexneri
Lineage: Bacteria; Pseudomonadati; Pseudomonadota; Gammaproteobacteria; Enterobacterales; Enterobacteriaceae
Description: partial 23S ribosomal RNA
Rfam family: Bacterial large subunit ribosomal RNA
Source: RNAcentral
UACCCCGAGGAAAAGAAAUCAACCGAGAUUCCCCCAGUAGCGGCGAGCGAACGGGGAGCAGCCCAGAGCCUGAAUCAGUGUGUGUGUUAGUGGAAGCGUCUGGAAAGGCGUGCGAUACAGGGUGACAGCCCCGUACACAAAAAUGCACAUACUGUGAGCUCGAUGAGUAGGGCGGGACACGUGGUAUCCUGUCUGAAUAUGGGGGGACCAUCCUCCAAGGCUAAAUACUCCUGACUGACCGAUAGUGAACCAGUACCGUGAGGGAAAGGCGAAAAGAACCCCGGCGAGGGGAGUGAAAAAGAACCUGAAACCGUGUACGUACAAGCAGUGGGAGCACGCUUAGGCGUGUGACUGCGUACCUUUUGUAUAAUGGGUCAGCGACUUAUAUUCUGUAGCAAGGUUAACCGAAUAGGGGAGCCGAAGGGAAACCGAGUCUUAACUGGGCGUUAAGUUGCAGGGUAUAGACCCGAAACCCGGUGAUCUAGCCAUGGGCAGGUUGAAGGUUGGGUAACACUAACUGGAGGACCGAACCGACUAAUGUUGAAAAAUUAGCGGAUGACUUGUGGCUGGGGGUGAAAGGCCAAUCAAACCGGGAGAUAGCUGGUUCUCCCCGAAAGCUAUUUAGGUAGCGCCUCGUGAAUUCAUCUCCGGGGGUAGAGCACUGUUUCGGCAAGGGGGUCAUCCCGACUUACCAACCCGAUGCAAACUGCGAAUACCGGAGAAUGUUAUCACGGGAGACACACGGCGGGUGCUAACGUCCGUCGUGAAGAGGGAAACAACCCAGACCGCCAGCUAAGGUCCCAAAGUCAUGGUUAAGUGGGAAACGAUGUGGGAAGGCCCAGACAGCCAGGAUGUUGGCUUAGAAGCAGCCAUCAUUUAAAGAAAGCGUAAUAGCUCACUGGUCGAGUCGGCCUGCGCGGAAGAUGUAACGGGGCUAAACCAUGCACCGAAGCUGCGGCAGCGACGCUUAUGCGUUGUUGGGUAGGGGAGCGUUCUGUAAGCCUGUGAAGGUGUGCUGUGAGGUAUGCUGGAGGUAUCAGAAGUGCGAAUGCUGACAUAAGUAACGAUAAAGCGGGUGAAAAGCCCGCUCGCCGGAAGACCAAGGGUUCCUGUCCAACGUUAAUCGGGGCAGGGUGAGUCGACCCCUAAGGCGAGGCCGAAAGGCGUAGUCGAUGGGAAACAGGUUAAUAUUCCUGUACUUGGUGUUACUGCGAAGGGGGGACGGAGAAGGCUAUGUUGGCCGGGCGACGGUUGUCCCGGUUUAAGCGUGUAGGCUGGUUUUCCAGGCAAAUCCGGAAAAUCAAGGCCGAGGCGUGAUGACGAGGCACUACGGUGCUGAAGCAACAAAUGCCCUGCUUCCAGGAAAAGCCUCUAAGCAUCAGGUAACAUCAAAUCGUACCCCAAACCGACACAGGUGGUCAGGUAGAGAAUACCAAGGCGCUUGAGAGAACUCGGGUGAAGGAACUAGGCAAAAUGGUGCCGUAACUUCGGGAGAAGGCACGCUGAUACGUAGGUGAAGCGACUUGCUCGUGGAGCUGAAAUCAGUCGAAGAUACCAGCUGGCUGCAACUGUUUAUUAAAAACACAGCACUGUGCAAACACGAAAGUGGACGUAUACGGUGUGACGCCUGCCCGGUGCCGGAAGGUUAAUUGAUGGGGUUAGCGCAAGCGAAGCUCUUGAUCGAAGCCCCGGUAAACGGCGGCCGUAACUAUAACGGUCCUAAGGUAGCGAAAUUCCUUGUCGGGUAAGUUCCGACCUGCACGAAUGGCGUAAUGAUGGCCAGGCUGUCUCCACCCGAGACUCAGUGAAAUUGAACUCGCUGUGAAGAUGCAGUGUACCCGCGGCAAGACGGAAAGACCCCGUGAACCUUUACUAUAGCUUGACACUGAACAUUGAGCCUUGAUGUGUAGGAUAGGUGGGAGGCUUUGAAGUGUGGACGCCAGUCUGCAUGGAGCCGACCUUGAAAUACCACCCUUUAAUGUUUGAUGUUCUAACGUGGACCCGUGAUCCGGGUUGCGGACAGUGUCUGGUGGGUAGUUUGACUGGGGCGGUCUCCUCCUAAAGAGUAACGGAGGAGCACGAAGGUUGGCUAAUCCUGGUCGGACAUCAGGAGGUUAGUGCAAUGGCAUAAGCCAGCUUGACUGCGAGCGUGACGGCGCGAGCAGGUGCGAAAGCAGGUCAUAGUGAUCCGGUGGUUCUGAAUGGAAGGGCCAUCGCUCAACGGAUAAAAGGUACUCCGGGGAUAACAGGCUGAUACCGCCCAAGAGUUCAUAUCGACGGCGGUGUUUGGCACCUCGAUGUCGGCUCAUCACAUCCUGGGGCUGAAGUAGGUCCCAAGGGUAUGGCUGUUCGCCAUUUAAAGUGGUACGCGAGCUGGGUUUAGAACGUCGUGAGACAGUUCGGUCCCUAUCUGCCGUGGGCGCUGGAGAACUGAGGGGGGCUGCUCCUAGUACGAGAGGACCGGAGUGGACGCAUCACUGGUGUUCGGGUUGUCAUGCCAAUGGCACUGCCCGGUAGCUAAAUGCGGAAGAGAUAAGUGCUGAAAGCAUCUAAGCACGAAACUUGCCCCGAGAUGAGUUCUCCCUGACCCUUUAAGGGUCCUGAAGGAACGUUGAAGACGACGACGUUGAUAGGCCGGGUGUGUAAGCGCAGCGAUGCGUUGAGCUAACCGGUACUAAUGAACCGUGAGGCUUAACCUUACAACGCCGAAG